CUACGGGCGGCUGCAGUGGGGAAUAUUGCACAAUGGGGGAAACCCUGAUGCAGCAACGCCGCGUGGAGGAUGACACAUUUCGGUGCGUAAACUCCUUUUAUAGGUCAAGAUAAUGACGGUAGCCUAUGAAUAAGCGCCGGCUAACUCCGUGCCAGCAGCCGCGGUAAUACGGAGGGCGCAGGCGUUACUCGGAAUCACUGGGCGUAAAGAGCAUGUAGGCGGGUUAAUAAGUCAGAAGUGAAAUCCAAUAGCUCAACUAUUGAACUGCUUUUGAAACUGUUAACCUAGAGUGUGGGAGAGGUAGAUGGAAUUUCUGGUGUAGGGGUAAGAUCCGUAGAGAUCAGAAGGAAUACCGAUUGCGAAGGCGAUCUACUGGAACAUUACUGACGCUGAGAUGCGAAAGCGUGGGGAGCAAACAGGAUUAGAUACCCCCGUAGUC
This 439-nucleotide ribosomal RNA is filed under the name uncultured bacterium. RNAcentral's name for it is "partial 16S ribosomal RNA". It matches the Rfam family "Bacterial small subunit ribosomal RNA", at positions 339 to 795 of the family's 1533-position model. The record is from RNAcentral.